CUCGCUCAGGUUCUCUAACAGAUGCUUCCAGAGAGAAAGAGAGAGCUUUUCCUCUUCUCUUCUCUCCUGUCCUUUUUUUAGCUCCGUGCACAGCAAGUGAGUGUGUGAGCGGCAUUAAUCGGACUAAUUAGGCACCCUAGUUAGCUGUGGUGGCUUUUGACACAGGAGGAGAAGGGCCAUGACUCCCCCCCCCACCCACUCUCCCCCCACCCCCGAGAAAGCUCAUUUUUUUUUAUCACCUCUCUCUCUCUUUCUCUCUCUCUCUCAGACACAAACACACACACACACUUGGGGAGGUGGGCGGAGGAUGCAGGGGCAGCCAUGAUGCACGGUGGGGGGAGCGCUGCAGAGAGAGAGAGAGCGAGAGAGAGAGAGAGAGAGAGAGAGAGAGAGAGAGAGAGAGAGAGAGAGAGAUAGAGGAGGGGGGCGGCAGGGAGAGAGAGAGAGAGAGAGAGAGAGAGAGAUACGCAAGCCCAGUACACUCUGACAUUAACACACCCAGAGGAAGCAGCAGUACAAACGAGGAGAGAGGAAAGGAAUAUCCUCAUCCAUCAGGCAAGAUGCUGUGGAGAAUAAACUAACACAGGAAACAGAAGUGAGUGAGAGGGGGAAGAGGUGUCAGCUUCUCGAGCGGGAGGUUAAGAACAAGAUCUCAGCAUGCCAGAGUUUACUGUCCAGUUUCGAUGAGCCUGUGCCCACUAUAUCCUGAUGUAGCCCAACCAACUCAAGGUUCUACGUGUUGUGCACUCUGAAAUGCUUUUCUGCUCACCAUGGUUGUAAAGAGUGGUUAAACAGUGGUAUAUUGGCAUGAAUGUUACAUGACGUUGUUGCAAGAGCGAGUACAGAAUGAACAGAUUGUUAAAAAAAUAUCUUUGGGAGUACAACACAAACGCAUCACUUCAUUAACACUUACAAUCACAAAUCAGAGUAAAUAAACAAACAAACAAAUAAACAAACACAACUGGAAAUAACUAAACUAAAUUUAAUAAGGAGCAAACAAAAUAUGUAACUCUCUCUCUUUCUCUCUCUGAUACACACACACACCUUUUUAUAUACUCUCCUUUCCUUCAAAAUCGUGUUCAUAUAUUUGUGUCCCAUUGAAAAGCUUUUGUAAAUUUAAGUUUGCAGUGGAACUUUUCAUCCAGUUCACUUUCCUUCCAUUUUACUUCUACUUCAAUUUCUGCAACAGUUCUGCCUUUAAACUUUGAGAGGCGGGGCCUAAGGGGCGGGGCAUAGGACAUUAUUGUAUAAAUUAGUGAUUCUGAAUGUCCAGUAUGGGCGCUGCUUUAACUUUUGAGUACGCGUCGAAAUGGUGAUGUUUUAUUUAUGUUUGUUUACGUCAUUGAAAAACUGAGCAUGGCUCUGAGGCAGAAAUGUACACAAAAAAAUUUUGGGUGACACACACUUCCAUUAGCUUCUUAGCAUAGCUCCAGUGUAAAAUGAAAUAAUUAAAUGUCAGAUGACAAGCAUAUCUCGGCAGCUCCACCACAUUUGGACUAGGUUGUAACUUUUAUUUCUGAACUAUACUUUGAAGUAUUUGGUGGUCUGAUGAGAUGGAACAUGAUGUCCUGAAGGUUCCCAGCUGCAUUCUCACAAAUAAACGUCCUCACAGGAGACUUGUGCCAGGCCAUGUUGUGUUCAGUGUCCCAGUGUACAGAAGCUGUCAUGUCGGUGCUGAUGCGCUUUGACAUAUGAAGCAGCCAGGAGGAGACUGAACGCUUAGUCAGAUCCCAACGACAGCAAGUGGCUUUAAAAGUGGCUCCAUAAAAACUCCUGUAAAACUGUGCUCCGUUCUUCGGUUUUACAGUUUAGCAAAUGAAUGCUUCAGUAAUAGCAGAGUCAUACACCGAUAUUUGGUGUUCGUUUUUCUCUCAGGUUAAUUUAGGAUAGGUUCUAAUCAGGACAAUCAAAGCUACAUAAUAUCAGACAGUCAGACACAUAUUUCAGUUAUCAGUGUUCCAUUUAAAUUACAAGAAUUAUCUCGCUGUAAAAGUUUUGUCUUGAUUCUUAAUUUUCUCUUUAUAACAGAUGAGGGAGUCGAGCCUGAGGCAGCGUCAGCAAAGUCACCACCAACAAAGGGUUAAAAUGGUACAACACAUUGUAGGGGUGUUACAGUGUACUUUAGAUGUGUCUUUAAAUGUGACUUUUAUGUGCCACAGCUCAGGAAAACGUUUUAGCAUUUACCAUUAAAAUGAUUUCGCCUAGUAUGUGUAAUGUUAUGGAACCUCACACCUUGAUCUUGUAUGAUUCUUUCUUGUUUACUUCCCUUUUUUAAAUGAUUUUUUUUUUCUUUUUAAUUUUCAUAUUCAUUAUUAUUUUAAGCGCUGUGAACUACAUGGUGUAUGAUGUGGUGCUUUAUAAAUAAAAUCUUAAAGAUUAUCUUUCUCUUCUAUCUUAAAGAUAUGUCUUCUCUGAUUGAAGCAAGAUGUCUCCAUUCAAUUCAAACAGAGUUAAAAUACGUUGGUACGGAAUGUGACUUAGAGAGCAUUUGAGUAAAAGACUAAGUUGGAAUUAUAGCCAAAUACAUUUUUAUUUGACAAGUAAAAUUGUCGUAUAAUAUGCGUGUUAAUAAUGUUUCUGUAAAAUAUACAGCAUUCAGAGCCAAAGAAAAAGACGAGUACUACAGUAUAUUGUUAUGUUCUCCUUUCUGUGU
This is a long non-coding RNA of Ictalurus punctatus (channel catfish), 2653 nucleotides long. The record is from Ensembl. Lineage: Eukaryota; Metazoa; Chordata; Actinopteri; Siluriformes; Ictaluridae.